RNAcentral lists this non-coding RNA (156 nucleotides) under bovine gut metagenome. The record is from RNAcentral.
GUGGUGUCCGAAAGGACUCAAUAGGGAAUCGGGUGUGAAUCCCGGACAGUUCCCGCUGCUGUGUCGGUUGGACGCUUGCCACUACGCCACUGUCGGACUCUCCGUCUGACGGGAAGGCGGCAAGUAGAGACCUUAGUCAGAAGACCUGCCCCAUGU